CUUCUAUAUUGAAAGUUGUGAGGGGUCACUGGAGGGACCUUGGAGUGUGGGAGGCCAGGGGGCAGUGAGGGGGUCAGUCUGAGAGAUUCCUUUGGGAACUUAGUCUCCUUGUCACCAUUUCCGUGAUCAAAACACUCAACAGGGCUAGGAUAGAAGUCAAACCUCAAAGUCUCUGAACUGGGAGGUAUAACUCCCCUUUUAUAACUGGAGAAAUUUGUUUGACUGUGAAAAGAAUAUAUUCUAUGUUUGUCUGUUUUGUAUCUUAAAUUCCUCAUAUGAGUGUAGAAUAUAUUAUUUUCUGGUCUAAAUGGGCAAGGGGCAUUAAGGAAUCUACUCCUGAAAUCAUUGUUGCACCAUAUGCUAACUAACUUGGAUGUAAAUUAAAUAAUAAAUAAAUUUAAAAAAGAAUAUAUUCUAAUUAUGAAGACAGACUUUCAAUGCGUACACUUGUAUUUAUGAUAUACUUUGCGAUUAUGGAAGAGUUACAUAAGAAUUUAACAUCAUAAAUCAUGCACUUAAACAUUUUGGUCGUUAGAUUUCAGAAAUGAUCUUCCAGCAAUAAUGCGGACAUAGAUAAAGAUCAUUGAGGUUUAGGAAUUGUUGAUCAGAUCAUUACAGUGGUGGAAUAAUUGUGUCACCUUUACUUGUGUAAAAUACUCUGAAAAACUCUCAAUAUUUCUAAGGAAUUUAUGUAUUUUUCAUGCCAGAUGAUUUAGUUUUUUUCUUUCCAGGGAUUUACUUCUGAAGUCUACUGUGAAACUCCUCUCUUCCAGAACUGUACCAUAGCAACUGAUUUUCUUUGCAGCUCAGCUGCUGUUGAACACAGUGUUAUCAUCUGCUUAGUGCCUGGUGGAGCAUAUGCCUUCUCUGUGGUAGUGUCAUACAUUCAAGGUGUUCAGUUAUUGACUACGUCUCUAUGUAAGGUAGGUCCUAAUUUUCUGGCAUUCAACACUGAGGCAUCUUAAAGGAAUUGAAAUCAGGCAAAAUGUAAACAUUUCCAGAGUAGAAUAUUAUGGGGUUAUAGGCCAAACUUUAAGGGUCGUUACACCUUUGCAUGCUUAAAUUUUCUAUUUGCCUCAGGAGUUAAGUGCUUGCGAACUAAAGGAUUUUUAACUUUAAAUGAUUUUAAAUGUUUACGUGAUUGGGGCAUAAUGGUAAGUGCAUUUUUUAACCUUUGGUCUUUUCACUUUGCACAUGCUACAAAAACAAUAUUUCUAACUACAAGGAAAAUAAGCCAUCUCCAAAAAUAGAAGAAAAAGUAGUUUUAGUAAUAUUUCAGAAAAACUCUACUAGAAAAGCUAUCAGGUCUCCCUUCUUAAGUUGAUCUUGAAAGGUUGGUUGAAGUAGUUUGUAUUUGGGAAGAAACUGUCCUGCUGGAAAUACAUUGGAUUCAAAUUCUUUGAGGUCAAGAACUUGGGAUAAUAGAAAUGUAUCAACCGAACAUCUGAUUUAUCUAUUUGGGUAGCAUAUGCUAGUGAAAGAAAUCCUGUUUCGGACUCCCUAAAUUCCACACCUGAAGCUAAUAUUACACUGUAUGUUAACCAACUGGAAUUUAAUAAAAACUUGAAAAAAAAAUAAAAAAAAAUAAAAGAAAUACCAUUUCUGUAUACUCUGAAGAGAGGGGAAAAAAGAUUAUGGAAAAGGUGUGUUCAUUAUAUUGUGCCUUACUCCAGACAUGAAUUGGUUCCUUGAUGUCUGUAAAAGCAGGUUCAAAAUCUUUACCUUGGCAAGAAAUUGUUAGACUAGCCUACAUUUUGAUAUAUAUUUGGUAGAUUAUUUAAAAGCUGUAUUUUAAAGUAUUUGAAGACAUGUGGGGUGUGCUCAUGGGGUAAAGUUUUAGAUGUGGGAUCAAACUCCUGGGUACUUAUUUGGGCUCCAUGUACCGGUAAUUACCUGGGUGACUCUCGUUGUGUCUUUCUGUCUUCCUGGGCCUCCCUCUUUAUGUUUUCUAAUCUUUAAGGGGUCUUAUCAACAUCAGUGCUACUCACUGGUCCGAGGAGUGAUUCUGCUAAAAGGUGCUGUGGAACUCACACGGAUUCUUGCCGCAUCAUCUGAGUGGGGGCCCUGUGAUCUGUGUGGAGUCCUAUCCUUUUUUGUUGGUGCCUAGUUUUUUUUUUUUCUUUUUUCCAAUUGCUGUCACUGACACAAGUGGAAACUCUUGAGCUGAAAUAUAACAGUAGUUCGUCAAAUGUUGAAAUUCUAGCCGAAGGGAUUUGGAAACCUGACUUGAUGAUUUUGGUGAUGAAAAGGAGGAUGAUGCUAGAUGAGAGGAGUUUUCCUUUGACUUUUAGAAGGCCCUUUAAUCAGUCAGUGCCUCUUUAGAAUCAAGCAAAUCAUUUCUCUAAAUUUUUAAAUGUAACAAUAUUGUGGUCAUUAUGACUGCAUAAUAGAAAGCUUAACCAGUUUAACGUAUUCACUAUAACUAGUUCUCCGGAUUUAGGAGCAAAAAUUACGUGCAGAGGCACACACACUCUUUGAGUUUGAACAGUUGUUUGUUUUAUAAUGCUGAGCCAAUCAUAAAAUUGCAUUUGAUUUUUCUCUUCUCCCCAGGUUUCCAAAGGAGUUUAUAAAGAAAAAUUCGAAUUUGAAAGAUUAUAUUGAUUUUUUUAAUUGCCUUUUCAGUAGUUUGUUAUGUAUUUGGUAAUAAGUGAUGUAUAAGAGAUAGUAAAAUUUUUCUAAUAAAGGUAAUAUGGAAGUUAUGUAUAGGAGGUAUGUGUGAUCUGUUAACUCUGUUGGUCCCUCCCUGUUAUCAUCUGUUAUUUUUUACAAGUGUAUGUGAAUCUAUAAUUAUCUCAUAAUAAAAAGUUAAACAAUUAUAUUUAGGUAUUAUUUUAAGCACAUUAUAUAUCUUACUUGAUUUAGCUCUUCUGAAGACUCAUUGAGACAAGUACUACUUUUAUAUCCAUUUUAUAGUUGGGAAACAGAGGGGCAGAGGGGUUAAAUCGAAGUUAAGUUCCUAUGGUUAGAAAAUGACAGAACUCGAAUUUAAACCGAGGCGGACUGACUCCACCGUCCAUGCAUGUAACACCUGUGAUUUGAAUAAUGUAGGCUAGAUUUAAAAGCUUUGUGGUUAGUAGUGAAAAUCAACUCUUUGAUUCCCUAUUUUAUGAUGAGUUCAGAUUGUACAGUAAAUAGUCUUUAUCAUUUUAUAGAAGGCAUUAUAUCAUUUAUAGAGGGCAUUUGAACCAUACUUUCCUAAGUUAUGUUUAUUAAGAGAAAAUGAUUACUAAUAAAAAUCUUUAGAGAUUUCUGUACAAAGGUGCUUGAAAAUUCUGGUUUAAAAAUUGACUAUACUUUUCACUGGAGCUUAACAUUUUCAGGAACCAUUUAGCCAUUCUGACAUUGUUAAAAGGAAAUAAUAGGCCAGUGGCCUAGAAAUUAGAUAUAUUUUGGUCUUUUAAAGACCUAAAUCUUCGACUGUAGAACUUUCGGUAAAGGUGGGUUAAAGGUUUUAGAUUCUCUGAAUCAGACAAUUGAGAGGUUUAGGGUGGUGGGGUAGGGAAAGCUAUAGACAUUUGGAAAGUAGGAACUGUUACCAUGACUCUGAAGAAACACUGUUUUGAUGGGGACUCAUGGACUUGUAGUAUCUUUGAUGAGGAAGAUAAAAUUAAUGUUUUUCAGUUUUUUUUCCUUUUAAAAUAUUUUAAAGAGGCAUAUCAUCUUUGUAAAAGAAUGACUAUUUAAUGAUACAUAAAGCACUGGAAGAAAAAUCGUGCAUAAUGUGUUUACUGCACAGCUUAAAAAACAGAUUAAUACCCUUUAAAUCACCACCUAUUUGCUGCUCCACGGUCACACCUACCCUCCUCUGACCCAAAGUUUAUCAUUCUACUGACUUAACUGAAUGGAUAUUUAUCCCAAAAUAGUAGGUUUUAUGUCUUUUAGGACUCUGUGUACCUUGUGUUGUUGUAUAUAUUCUUUUGAGACUUGGUUUUCUCAGUCAAUAUAUUUUUGGAUUUCCAUUGCAUUCAUGCAUGUAAAUAUGGUUCAUUUUCAAUGGGGCAGAGUUUCUACACUAUGUUAAGUUUAUUUUUACAUUUUUUGAGAGUGAGAAAUCGUGAGAGGGGCAGAAGGAGAGAGAAUCUUUUUUUUCCUUUUUUUUAAUGUUUAUUCAUUUUUGAGAGAGAGAGCGCGUGCGGGCAAGCGAGCGAGCAAGAAAGGCAAGAGGGGCAGAGAGAGAGAGGGAGACACAGAAUCUGAAGCAGGCUCCAGGCUCAGAGCUGUCCGCUCAGAGCCCUACCUGGGUCUGGAACCCACAAACUGUGAGAUCAUGACCUGAGCCGAAAUCAGAUGCUUAACUGACUGAACCACCCAGGCACCCCAAGAGAGAGAAAAUCUUAAGCCGGCCCCAUACCCAGCAUGGAUCUUGAUGUGGUACUUGAUCUCACAGCUGUGAGAUCAUGACCUGAACUGAAAUCAAGAGUUGGCUGUGGGGUGCCUGGGUGGCUCAGUCGGUUAAGUGUCCGACUUCAAUUCAGGGCAUGAUCUCACAGUCCGUGAGUUCAAGCCUGAGGCUCUUUGCUGUCAGUUCGGAGCCUGGAGCUUACUUUGGAUCCUGUGUCUCCCUCUCUCUCUGCCCCUACCCCAUUCACACUCUGUCUCUCUAUCAAAAAAAUGAGUAAAUGUUAAAAAAGAAAAUAAGUCGGCCGUUUAACCGACUGAACCACCCAGGUGCCCCUAGGGUUUAUUAAUCCUUAUUUGUCUUUCUUCUAUUGAAGCACUUUGGACUGUAUAUAAUUUCUUCUGUUUCAUUUUAUUAUUGAACAUUCAUAUUUUGUAUUUGAAGCACAUGGGCAAGAAUAUAUCUAAGGCAGGUAUAAGCAUAGAAAACAUAUUGCAAUAAAUAUUUAUUGAGAAAAAUAUUUUCAUCAUUUACAAAAUUAUGCCAAAUUGUUUUCCAAGUUGGGCAUGCCAGUUUCCAUUGUCUGUAUUUUUUCCCCUUACUUUUUAUUGUGGUGAAAUAUACAGAAUGUAAAUUUACCAUUUUAGCCACUUUAAGUGUAUCAUUUAGUGGCAUAAGUACAUUCAUAUUGUUGUACAACCAUCCCCACCAUCUGUCCUCAAAACUUUUCUGUUUUCCCCAGCUCCAACUCCGUACCUGUUAAACAUUGACUCCCCAUUUCCCUGCCCCUUCCCCCUCUAGCCUCAGACAAUCCCCAUUCUAUAUCAGUUUCUAUGAGUUUGAUUGUUUUUGGGUACCUCAUGUAAGUGGGAUCAUAUAAUAUUUGUCAUUUUGAGACUGGCUUAUUUCACAUAGCACAGUAUCUUCAAAGUCCAUUGCUGCUGCAACUUGUGUCAUAAUUUCUUUCUUAAGGCUGAAAAUCUGUAAUGCGUAUUUACCACAUUUGUUAAUCUGUUCAUCAGUCAGUGUUGUUCAGGGAUCAUCUUGUGUUUUUUUUUUCUAUCCAGCCCUGGAAUCAGUAAUUUCUCCAGAAGGUCCUGGUUCAUUCUAUUGGAGCAUGGUAUUUGGAAAGCUCUAGGUGCUAGGUGCACUCAUUACUCCCGAUGUGUUUCCAGGUCCUCUCAGUAUAGAGACCUGGGAAACACGUGUUUAUGAACACUUGCAUGUUUAUUCUUAGCCAUCUGUAUAUGUAUUAAAAUCCCUGAGGUCAUACUAUUGCCUCUGAUUGCAAUCCCUAACUGUAGGACUAAUUCCAACUUUCCUUCUGUGCUUACUUGUAGCUCCUUGCUCUGAGAAUCAGAAAUUGGGCUGUCAUUAUUUAUAGUAUAUACUUAUUUAACAAUAUACAAUAUAUACAGAUAUAUACUAUACACACACACACACACAAUAUAUAUAUAUAUACUAUAUAAUUACAGAUUUGCUACCCCAUACCCCUGUAAAAAGAAGAUUUACUGGCUAGAGUAUUUGUGUACUUAAAUACUCUUUUUGAGCACAACCAUGAUCCUUUUAUUAGACCAGAAAAAGCAAAAGCUAAACAUUCUCUAAACAUCAUCAAUAUCCAGUAAAUAUUCAUAUUUCCCUGUUUUAUGAUUUUUAAGUAAUUUUUUAGUUUGUAUCGAAUCUGAAUAAGGUCCCUCCCCUUUCUGAGAUAUAGUUCUAUGAGCCAAUAAAUUCUUCACUUUGCCUGCAUUAUUUUGAUUGUCUGUCCCUCGCCACCAGGCUGUCCUGACAAAAGCAGAGGGAUUGGUCAGUCAGCUCUGCCCUCCCAGAAAAGAACACUAGGAAGAAAGUCUUCUGCCAUAAGGAAAUUAUUUCAGGAAAAGGAACCAGAUGCAAUGAGAAUAUGCACAUGAAUACACCAGAUUAUUUGAGAACACUCUGUUACUCUGUGUAGUUAGCUCUGUGAUAUCAAAUCAUAUAAAAUGAGAGCUCUGAUACCUUCUUUUUUCACUGUAACUUACUACAACCCCCCGCCUCCUCAAAAAACAAAGCAAAACAAAAAGAAAAAACAAACAAACCAACAAAAACAAACCAAAGAAAACCCAGCCACUGAAACCUCAGCAUAAACUCAGGGCAAAGUCAUCAGUAUCUAAUACCUAAUCCCUUUGCUUGUGGAUUUACUAUUCACUUUUCAAUUCGACAGUAUGUUACAGUGAUGUGCUGUAAUUUUCAUUUUAAGCUCUACAACAGAAAUGAUAUUACAUUUAAUAGCUGAAUGGCUUCCAUGUUACAAUUAGAGGUAUCCUAAGCAAUGAGAGGUGGCAAAUUAUCCUUUAAAAACAAAAUUAUAGGACAGUCACAAAGAACUGGCUUUUAAAAGGCUUGCCAACAAGGCAUCCUCGAAGUGAAUAUGGAAUAUGUUUUGCUAAUCUAAACUGUUUGAAUUGAGGUUAUAGUUGCUUUUGAAAGAAUGUUCUUUAGAAAUCCUAGUGUUCACAGAUCAAGAGGGAAGAACUAUUGACGAUAAUAAAAUAAUUGAAAUAGAUUAGUAGUUAUUACCCAAUCAUUUUUUUAAGUUUUAAUUUAAUAUGGGAUCUGUGUCUCUAAUGAGGACUUUGUACUUAAUCCUAGUACAGUUUAAUUCCCUGUGACACUAACACAUUUUAAGAACCAAAGGUUUUUUAAAUGUGCUUUUGAAAUCAUUUUUCUAGUGGGUGGAUUCUUUUCCUGUAGAUUUCACUAGAUGAGAAUUUUGGUUGUCAUUUAAAAAAUCUGCUUUUUAAAGCUACUUCAGUUUAUUCAAAAAAUUUUUUAAAGCAGAUGCUGUUUUUCUUUUCAUUUCUGCUGCUGUUGACUAUGAAACAGAGUAUUUCUGGCACUUGAUCAAUUAAAAUGUAAAUUGUAACCCAGGAUACUUUGCUUUGUAACCAAAUUUCUGUGCAAAGCAUAUGGGAAGACCUCAGUCAUGUUCCCCAGUUUGAAAUAUGCAAGAUACUGUAGGGAAGACGAUGGUCCUCUGUGAAAGAGAAAGGUCUUUGGACUGCUCAUUUUUGUGCCGCCUUAUUAAGGCAUCUCAGCAACUCCCUUUGUCCCUUGAAUUAGCUUCCCAAGACCUAAAUGGUCAAGUCCAGAGUCAUGGACCUCUAUCAUAUGACCUCAGUUAGUCUUUCCAACUUAUUUUCUCCACACACCUUCAGCCCCCUCCUUCCUUCUCAGCUCUGUCCAGAUGUGACCUUCACUUUUCCCUGGACUUGAACUGUAAUUUUUACUCUUGACCUUUUUUAUAUGUUCCUCCCUCUCUCUGCUGCCAGGCACAUUCCUAUACGUUGUCUGAAUCUGCUCCUAUGCAGAGCCCCAGCCUUUGGGAUCCCAUUCCACAUUGCACUGACUGUUCAACCUAUCCUCUAGUUUUGUUAAUUGUCUGCCUGCUCCACUAAAGCAAUGCUUUUCACUGUGGACCAUCAGACUUGCCUGGCAAGCACGUUCGUGGGACUUGACCCUGACACAGUGAAACUUUGUCUCAGGCAAGUAGGCCAUGGAUUUACAUUUUUAACAAGCACUACAGAAAAUUCUUCUGUUUUCUAACAUUGGAACCUUAUUGCAUCAAAGUGAACACUUCCUAAUUGUAUUGUGUCUCAGUGCCUUGUAUUCAUUAGAUCACUAAGUGCUUGCAAAGACCAAACAAGAUGUGGAGCCCUAUACCAAGAGGUAAUCAUCAUCUCCAGUCUGGUUGCUGUUGGCUCACUUGUAUUUGGUACUGAGUUACGGAUGGUAGUGCCUUUAUACUCAGAGUGUGGUCCACGAACCAGCCACUUCUGCAUCGCCCAGAAAUGCAAUAUCUUGGGCCCCAUUCUUAAUAAAUCAAAAUCUUCAUUGUAACAAGCACCUAUAGUGAUUUGUAUGCACAUUAAAGUGAGAGAAGUGCUCACGUAGGGCUGGAGUUACGAUGCACUCUUGGAAUAUAGUGGAAGGGAUUUUGAUCUGUUAGACAAAGAGUGUUUAAUGAGACCACAGAACUUUAAUAUUUUUAUUAAGUUUUUUAUUUUGAGAGAGACCGCAUGCGUGAGCAUGAGUAGGGGAGAGGCAGAGAGAGGGAGAGACGGAAUCCAACGUAAGCUCCCCACCUUUAGCGCAGGGCCCGACUGAUGGCUCGAACUCAUGAACUGUGAGAUUAGGACCUGAGCCGAGAUCAAGAGUCAGACACUUAAUGAACUGAGCCACUUAGGUGCCCUGAAACCAUAGAACUUUAAUCACUGGAGGAUGUGUAUUGAAAGAUUGUAUGCUUUGAGAAGGUAGUGGGAUUGGACAGUUACAUGGACUGUAAUGUGCUGUGGGAGAAACAUGUCUGAAUGAGGCUCCCUGAUGCCUUUACAUUGAUGUAGAUUGGGUUGGGACACUAGGGAGAAAUGCCAUUCUUCCAUCUUUUCCUCCAGGAUUUUCCACAAUAGACUCUGUACCUCGUUCCCUUAAUGAUUGCAGAGUGAGCCAGUUAAUAGUGAUUGCAGGCCUAAUAAGAUGAUGUAAGAUUUGGAAGCAUAAAGUAUCUUCGUGGAGAACCAAACAUUUCACUCUAUAGGAAAUACAUGCCAGGGAAACCUGAGACUUGGGUACACGGGCCUGAGAUGUUUUGGUUUAAUAUUAAAAGAUCUCUAACUUUUUAAGGUUCAGUCAGUAUGCCUACAUGAGUAAGUGGAAGCUGUUAAUGACUUCCAUUGGCUUUUCCUCUUAAUUGAAUCUACUUGGAAACGCUAAGAAAAUGUCACUUGAAUCCUCUCCUUUUGUCUCAUCUUUAAAGUGCUCCUCCCAUUCUCCUCGCCACCCCCCCUCCCCCACCAUCUCAGCUCUAGAGUGCAUGCAGGUGAAAGUCUGUCUUCGAUUUCAGUCCAGCUAGUUUUGGGGGUCUGAUGAGUUGAGCAGGGGCGUGGAUUGAAGGGAAGAUUAGCUUAGGGACUAAGGAAUUGAGCAGCCCAUCAGGUAUCCAAAGUAAGAGGAGUAAUUUCAGUAAAUAUACUGUUCGAAAGUGAGCAGAGAGAAUCACAGCGAUCCCUGUGUCGACUGAAGACAGAUGGGCAGGUUGCCAGGGAGCCAAACUAAGAACUGGAGGGUAGUCAAGUGCCCAGAGAGAAGACAGGGGUGCCUCAGGUAGCUGGAGUUUCAGUAGCACAGGCGUGGCUGCUGCUGUCUGUCAGCUGCCUACAGCCAGGAAGACAGAGCUUCCGCUCAGUAGGUUAGACCAGCGUGUGUGCUCCAUGGCCACAGUGAUUGACAUCUGUGGUGACAGUUGGGCUGAAUCACCUCAGACCGAAUUUGCAUGUAUCGCAUGUCUUUUAAUGUUAAGUGAAUGUUCUAAUUAUGGCACUUUUGGUUUCAAGGGGCAGAAUCUCACUCAAACUAGUUGAAGGUGUGUUAUUGUAAUGAUACAUGGAGAUUUCAGGGAACCCGAGGGCAGAAAGACAGACCUCAUGAGAAAUGAAAGCAGGAAGGGGAGCGUUUUCAGGACCUGAAGCAAUUAUUCUCUCAGGAUUCACUUGGUUUUAUUCAUCUGUAUGUUCCUCUGGAGGAUGUAGUCGCUCUGUCUCUGAUUCUGAUUGUUUCUCUUUCCUUUUCCUCUUGAUUAGUUUUCACUGCUUCCUGAUCUUGCACGUGGCCUCCAUCCCCAAGAUUGUCAUGACUUAUUGGGUUCAAUAUCCAAUGUUGACUGGCAAUAGUCUCUUGUGUCUUUGGUCAAAAUCAAAAGGGAGUGAGAGUACCAGAUUUCUUUAGUUUAUCUCUAUAAGCCAAGCCAAAAAAGUGCUUGACUGUCUUUGAGAGAUAGAGAUUGCAUCCGUAGUCAAUCAGCUGUGUUCAGUUUGGUGUAGGUCAUGUGACACGUAAACCUACUUCCCUCAGAGACGGAAGGAGCAUCAGGUAAUAAAAUAUGUAUGUAUCAUUGCAUUUUUGUCAUGAUUACUUAUGAUAUGUUUAGUUAACCAACACUUGUACAGCUCUGAUUCUUUUCAAGAUACAUUUGGUAGAAUUUACAACCAUGAAUAAAAUAUAAUUGGGGAGAAUUUAUAAUCCAGCGGAGAGACAAUAGCCAAUUAACCAAAACAGAUCAUUCCCUGGAAGUUUUGCAAAUAGAGUAUGUUUAUUGUUGUAUUUUAUGAUACUCUUGAACUUCUUACUUAUUAUCUGACCUCACUUUGUAAAGACAUGCUUCUAAUGAAUCUUUUCCAAAGCACAUCUUGUGGGUUACUUUCGUUGAAAGUAUUUUGUUACAUUUGUUAUUAUGGAGUAAUUAUUUCAUGGCAAACAAGGCUAAUGUGGAAUAUUUGUAGACUGAGGUAUGUUUUCAAAGCCUAGUGAGUUAGCAAAGAGCUGAGGAAUUAGGGCCAAGUGCCUUCAAAUGCUUGUCUUUUUAUUUUUGAAAUUAAAGCUGAUAUUUGAAUAGAUAGAAAAUAUGAGUGAUGAAAAUCUUUGAUCAUCUUAAUAGUAGAUAUCUUUAAAGUGUAAAUUAACUGCUAAUUUAAUUCACUGUAAUGCUAUGUGAAGUGAUGUGUUUUUACUUAAAAACUUGUAAUUUUGAUGAAAAUAUGCAAAUUUUAACCACAUGUUCCAUUCUGGUUAUUUCAUUUUGCCUUUUAAUACAGUUUUCAGAUAGUUCCAAACUUUCUUUUUAUUGAAACACUUUUACUCCUUAUUUUCAAGUACAUUAAAAUAAUAAUUACAUAGGGGCCAUAAGUAAUAUGUCUUUUUUAUCACCAUCGAUUUCAGGAUGAUCUACACGAUCAUUUUUCAUGUACUUCUGAAUUCGAUAAGUACUUUACCUCUUCAUACAAGGUUAGUUAGGUUAUAGGAAAUAAGUAACUACCUGAGAUUCUGUUGUGAGAAUAUAGAAGAAUAACAGGGAACUCCAAUUAUUUAAAUACUAUUCUUUAGUUGUGAAUAAAUUCCAGGAAAAGUGUGUCCAUUUAUAUUCUAUUUCUCUGCUUUUUUUCCCGUAGAACUAAAAUUUUCAAGUAUUUGCCUCUGGAAGUUACUUCCUGUUGAAAGUUUUCUUUAUCAGUAUCCGCAAGAGGCAAGUAACAAAGCUGCCUGCUUUUACAGGAUUCGUAUAAAGGUCAAAUGAGAAUACAGUUAACUCUUUUAUUUAGCAGUAGAUUAAUUGGUGUUUGGAUUAAUUAUGCUAAAGUGAUAAUUGGUAUUCUUAAAAUUUUAAGUUACUGUGAGGCAACGAAGAUAUUCGUGUAUUAGAUAGCAUCUCUUGCUUGUAGUCAUGAUAACAAGUGGAAGCCACAUCAGGUUCAGGUUCAUUGCCUUGUGGGAAUUCCUGCUGCUCUUGUCACAGGCCACCAUGUAGCUUUCAUAGUUUUGACUAUAACUUUUUUUUUUUUUGGUCUGUGGUCUGCCAAAAUUUGAGUGGUAGGGAUGUGUUGUUGAGCCUUUUCAAAUUAAAAUGUGAUCAAAUAACACUAAAAUAUUGGACUCAAGGUAAAACCUGCAUGUUAGUUACCAUUCAAACAACAGCGGAAGUUAGCAAUCAGUUGGAAAAAGGAUACCAUUAAAUAAUUUAUAAUAUAUGGGAAAGGAAUCAGAGGGUUCAUGGUUGGAAAAAGAAUGAAUUGAUGUCUUUUGUUUUUUCAGUAGGUUCUUGAAGCAGAAGACAAAAAACAAAAGGGGAAAAUAAAAAGUCAUUGGUCAAAAGAUCUUGAUCAGAUAAUGCAAGUUGGGUUCCGUCAGCAAGCAAUGGGGACGAGAACUUCACCUUAGCAUCCUGAGGAUUCGGGGCUGACGAGGAGGGUUAUCAAUGAUGCCUGUUACAUUAGUUAUGUUCUGAGUUUAACUGCUUUCCCAGAGACCAUAUGAUAGUGGCUUUAAGUAGAAAGUUUAUUUCUAUCUCAUGUAGAAGUCAGAGCUGAAGGUGAUUUGGGCACUGGAAACCAAGCACGUCUGCUCCCAAAGGUCUUUCUUACUACUCUACCACACAUUAGCAGUGUUUCUUAACCUUGUCCACCCAUGAGAUUCAUCUGGGGAGCUUAAAUAAAAAGAAAGAACAAAAAGAGGGCGCCUGGGUGGCUCAGUGGGUUGGGCAUCCGACUUUGGCUCAGGUCGUGGUCUCACAAUUCGUGGGUUCAAGCCCCGCGUUGGGCUCUGUGCUGACAGCUGAGAGCCUGGAGCCUGCUUUGGAUUCUGUCUCUUUCUCUGUGUCCCUACCCCACUCACACUCGGUCUCCCUCUGUCUCUCAAAAAUGAAUAAACAUUAAAAAAAUUAAAAAAAAA
Molecule: long non-coding RNA, 12598 nt
Organism: Acinonyx jubatus (cheetah)
Lineage: Eukaryota; Metazoa; Chordata; Mammalia; Carnivora; Felidae
Exons: 2
Source: RefSeq, a predicted model, not a curated record